RNA transcript from Galeopterus variegatus (Sunda flying lemur), 1153 nucleotides. It is a transcript of the gene named C-C motif chemokine 15-like, with no coding region annotated. NCBI's taxonomy places the organism in Eukaryota, Metazoa, Chordata, Mammalia, Dermoptera, Cynocephalidae. The record is from RefSeq and is a predicted model, not a curated record. The transcript is spliced from 6 exons.
AAAUAUGAAUAUAUCUUUGAAGGACAGAGCUGGCGUCCUGGAGAGGCAGGGAGCAGUGAGCCCAGGAGUCCUCAGGCCGGCUCUGCUGCCCACCAGGAAGAUGAAGGUCUCUGCAGCUGCCCUCUCCUUCCUCAUCCUUGCUGCUGCCCUUGGAUCCCAGGCCCACGUCACACAUGAUACAGAGAUAAGAAAACUCAUGGUGUCACAGCAUCAGUUUGAACGCCGAAAUCGUGACCACAGUAAAUAUACAAGCUUUCACCUUCCUGCUGACUGCUGCUUCUCCUACACCCAACGAAGCAUCCGAUGUUUAUUCAUGAAAAGUUAUUUUGAAACGAGCAGUGGGUGCUCCCAGCCAGGUGUCAUCUUCCUCACUAAGAAGGGGCAACGUGUCUGUGCCAACCCCAGCGAUGAGCAAGUUCAGGAUUGCAUGAGAAAACUGAAGCGUUCCCCAGUAUCCAAGGACAUGUCAAUAUGACACUUGCUUGAUGGAAGGGGACAAAAGGUGCCAGCCACCCAUAUCCAACUCUCUUGUUCCAACCUCCUAUUCGCACCAUUUGUUUCACGGUAACUGCUUCAUUCUUGGAGACAUUCUUCCAGGACCUUCUAACUUCUUAUUCCAAUUUGGAGAAAUGCUUUCUGCACCUGCCAAAAAUCAUACGGUGUUUAUUCUCAUCACAUGACUGAGUUCAUUCCACCAUGACAUGUAACCCACAGCUUCCUCUUCCUUGGGUUCAUUUUUCAUUUUGCUAGAAUAUAUCCUUGGACUGCCUCCUACUAUAAAAGUUGCAAAGGCAAACACUCUCCCGUGCUCCAUGAGAGCCAGGACAGGCACACCCGACCCAGGCUCGGCCAGUCUGAGGCUCCCUUCCAGAGCUUUGAGCCUGGAGCAAAUGUUCUAAGGAAAAGAGAGGACUCCACGCAGGUGACAGUGGUGGUGGCAACAACUUCCAGAUUUUGGAGGCAGCAGUGUCAGCUCACGCAUCCCAGGACCAGUGCUACAGGUCAGCACUGCUAGUUGCAGCUCACAGCAGAGGCAGCAGCAUCCACACCGGUUGGUUCCUGUGGCAUUGGAGCUGUUCUCUCUAGGUUUCUACCCAUUUUCCAAGCCUUUCUGACAAUUCUGUGCACUACUCAAAAUCUUCACAGUAAAUAA